Molecule: long non-coding RNA, 1255 nt
Filed under: Capsicum annuum
Lineage: Eukaryota; Viridiplantae; Streptophyta; Magnoliopsida; Solanales; Solanaceae
Description: long non-coding RNA (CANN_LNC000721)
Source: RNAcentral
UAAAACACAUAAACACAAAAUACACACAACACACGCAUAUCACACCACACACAUCAGAUCGCCUCUCUCUCCUUUUUCUCACCAAUCUAUUGUCGCCGAAGUUGAAUGUCGGACAACCAGGCUUUGACCCCCAGGCACCAACCAGUGCCGUCUCCUUCCUUCCUCAUCGAUCUGCCAUCACUGGAGUUAAAAUCUGGACGAUCGAAAUCUCUCCCUCCUCCACAGCUUCACUGCUGGCUAAUCGGAGGUGAUGACCAGUGAGUCUCCAGCCGUACUACCGCCGCUCGUCCUCUCCUCUUGCCCCAAUAUUUUGUUAUUUGUUGUUUUGUGCAUAAAUGGUUACCAUUACUUUGAAUUUUUUCCUUUUAUUAAUGAACUGGGUUUACACGUCACCAUUUGAUUCAUACAGAUCUGGCCAAAUUUUUUAUUAUCCGGUGUUACUUUGGCAAAUGCCGUUGAAGCAACGUUGUUGUGCCGCUGCCACCGUACCCUUACCAUCACUAUUUUGAUUUUUUUUUCUGCAUCUUUUUUUUUGUUAGUUAUUGUGGUCGUGAAUAUUAUGUUGCUCCUGUGAAUCCAUUGUUUCCUUAUCUGCUUAUUAUUAUUACUCAUAAAAAAUACUCCAUUAAAAUGUGCUUGCUGGUUUAUGUGAUUUGGAUGGACCGAAUUUGUUUUCAGUGGUUUGGUUUGUUCCCUUAAAGAACAGUGUUCCAGUGAGCUCUUGGGUUGUGUUUGUGUAACAUUUUUCGAUACUAUUCUUCUUGUGGACAGAUUUAAUAUUUUUUAGUCUCAAUUAUAACCUAUUUUACUACAAAUUCUGCCGUCUCGGAGUUAUUUAUUUUUUCACCGACAACAAAUAAAGGCCGACACUCGGCCAAUGAAAUUAUAGCUCCAUCAGAUACUUGAGGCCACCUUGUAACAAAAGACGAAUUUUAUUUUUCUCAAAUUUGUUAUAUGAAGUGUCAAUACUUGACCAAUGAUAUUAUUUUUUCGUCGGAUUUUUGAGGUCAUUCCAUUACAAAAACGGACUUUACUUUUCUAAAAUAUUAUUUUACAUCAAGGGCUAACACAUGGCUAAUGAAGAAACCCCCGUUAGUUUUCGAGGCCUUCCCAAAUAAAAGACGGACAUUACAUAUACAAAUACGUAACAAAAAAUAAAUAUUUUUGGGCGAUGACGAAAUCUUUAUAAUAUUUUAAAACUUUAUCUGAGCCCACAUUUUAACAAAAAUUAUAUUUUUAAAUAUGUAUAUGCACA